AAGAAGCUUACCAAAAAAGACAUCUUUCCCUGUUUUACAAAUGAAGCCACAACCACGAUACAACCACACCGCAAACGGAGGUCCACAAGUAACAUAAAGGUUCGAAAGUACAACGAAAUAAAGUACUUGCUGGAGGCAACAGCAAAACAAGCCGACAAAACCCUUCAAUUCAUACAUACUACAGCUCAUAGUGGACCUAAUUCAUACAUACUGCAGCUCAUGAGGAUACAAACAUCCAGGACAUUAAAAUUCAUCAGCGGACUCAUCAAACUUCAGGUGAAAGGCCAACCGUUCACAACAUAACCAUGUAGCGAUGAAAAGAAGUCAUGCGGAACAAGACUUUGCUUGAGCUGCAGUUGAGUAGGUUGGACACCUAUGUGAUUGAAAGUGGCGACCAACUUGCCAUCCAUCUCAACCUGAACUAGCCAGUCAGGAAAUUUGACCAGGACAAGCAACUCACCAUCCCCAGGCACGACCACCGUUUCCCAAGUCAUCGUCGUCGCGUUUUCCACACGACGCCCUAAUCUCUGCAAGCGGCGGUUCAAUGUGGCACUUGAAGGUCCAGACCUCGCUUGCAUAGUCCUGCAACACCCAGAUAUCAAUGCUUGUCGCUUUGUCGUUAAAGCUAGACGUGCCGAGCAUGCCAUCCAUCUCAAACAGCCCAUCACAGGUGGUACCACGAACAACCGGGACGCGCAUCUGUCAGAAUGUCUCAGCUGUGUUGUCAAAUACGAUUAUCAUGUUGCUUUCGCCCUCGUGCUGCUGCACUGUAACAUCCCGGAUGUAACUUUCCCAAUUUGUACUCCAACUCUUGUCAUUUCCGGCGUUAAGUUAUAUUUAUUUCCUCGGGUUCGGGUUUUGUCUCCGUGUGUUGUUGUCGUUGUCAUGCAUCUCAUAUCAUGUCAUCAUGUGCAUUGCAUCUGCAUACGUGUUCGUCUCUUGCAUUCGAAGUCCGUUUUGCAUUCCGGCGCUUCGUUCUCCUCCGGUGGUCAUUUCUAGCUUUCUUUCGUGUGUUGGGAUUAAACAUUUACGGAUUGGACCGAGACUUGCCAAGCGGCCUUGGUUUACUACCGGUAGACUGUCUGUCAAGUUUCGUACCAUUUGGACUUUGUUUGAUACUCCAACGGUUAACCGAGGGACCGAUAAGGCCUCGUGUGUGUUGCAGCCCAACACCCCUCCAAUUUGGCCCAAAACCCACCUAACUCUGCUCCAUCAUCUAGAGCGUUCGAUCACGAUCGCGUGGCCGAAAACCGCACCUCAUUUGGACUCUCCUAGCUCCCUCUAUGCCUAUUUAAACACCCCAGAUUUUCGGAUCUCCUCCUACCUCCGAAACCCUAGAAAUCGUCCCCGCGCCGCGCCGGACGAAAACCUGCCGACGGACAUUGUCCGGCCCGCCUCUCCGCCGCCACGUGGCACCCCGGGAUUCGUCCCCCGGGCGCGCCCACAUCGCCCGCCGCCGCCNNNNNNNNNNNNNNNNNNNNNNNNNNNNNNNNNNNNNNNNNNNNNNNNNNNNNNNNNNNNNNNNNNNNNNNNNNNNNNNNNNNNNNNNNNNNNNNNNNNNNNNNNNNNNNNNNNNNNNNNNNNNNNNNNNNNNNNNNNNNNNNNNNNNNNNNNNNNNNNNNNNNNNNNNNNNNNNNNNNNNNNNNNNNNNNNNNNNNNNNNNNNNNNNNNNNNNNNNNNNNNNNNNNNNNNNNNNNNNNNNNNNNNNNNNNNNNNNNNNNNNNNNNNNNNNNNNNNNNNNNNNNNNNNNNNNNNNNNNNNNNNNNNNNNNNNNNNNNNNNNNNNNNNNNNNNNNNNNNNNNNNNNNNNNNNNNNNNNNNNNNNNNNNNNNNNNNNNNNNNNNNNNNNNNNNNNNNNNNNNNNNNNNNNNNNNNNNNNNNNNNNNNNNNNNNNNNNNNNNNNNNNNNNNNNNNNNNNNNNNNNNNNNNNNNNNNNNNNNNNNNNNNNNNNNNNNNNNCCUACGCCGCCGCCCCCGGCCACCGGCGUCCGUGCCCGCCGGCCGCAGCCGUCCGGCCUCCCCCUCGUCACCGGCAACCUCCUCGUCUCCGGCAGCUAUAGUUCCUCGCCGGAGUUCCUCGAUUUCCGUGCGCGAGAUCUAGAUCCAAAAAACCCUAGAGGAUGAUUUCUUUGUCCAAGUCCUGAAAUUCUCAGUCCAAGUGCUCAUGUUCGCGGCUCCAUAACUUUGCAUCCCUAGCACCGAUUCAUGCAUGUAGCAUAUCAAAAUGUUCAUCUCAGAGAGUACAUCAUUUCAUUCCAUUGCAUCAUUUUCAUUUGAGUUCAUCUUGAUGCCCGAAAUGCUGUUAGAAGAGGCCUACUUGAGUUAAUUGUCAGAUAUGUUACUCCGUUUAGCACUUUUGUCAUUUUUGCCAUGAUUAUUGUGUGCUUGAUAUGCCCGUGAGUUCUACAUAUGUUUUGUUAAGGGCUUUGUCAUCUCUCCAGGGGUGCAACCCAUGUAUUUUUAGGAUGUGUGUAGUGAUUAGUGCAAGCUUGCAAAGUGGUGCACUUGCUAAUUCCGUUUUCAGGGACUUAGUAAUUUACCAAGUCCUGGAGCUGUUUAUCUCAUGAUGCCAUAUGUUCAUGUUGUUUCCUAUUGAUCCGUGCCUCUUUUGAGGAUGAGCAGUAAGGAUGUUUUGUUAAUAUUGUAGUGCUCUAUCCAUCCAUGUCUUUGUUUGCAAUUAUGGAGCACCCUAGCUUGAGUCAAUCAAGCUCUACUUUGGCUACUUUGUGAAUCUGGGCAGAUUGUCAACUUGUUUGCAAUUUUGCCGGUGAUGUUGUAGUUGAUCCGUGCAUGCUAUGCUAUUGUUCUUGCCAUGUCUAGCUUUAAUUUUGUGCCUUCUUGAUAGAUGUAUGCUUGCCUUGCCAUGACUUGCAACGUAGUGAGUGCAUCGAGCUCGUAAACAUGCCUACUUGAGCUAUAUUUCAGCUUGCUCCAGUUUUCACUUAAGUAUGAAAACUGAUUAUGUUUUUGCCAUGUUCACAUGCUUGCAAUUGUAUUUUCUGGUCCUGUUUGGCUCAAGGUCACUAAGGGACUUUUGUUAAGCUCUUUGGGUAGCUCCAUGCCAUGCUUUACUUUUCCAUGUUCAGAUCCUGUAGCAUGUAGUUUUGUUGCUCCGAAGAGGGCUACCUUGAUCUGAAAUUCCAGACAAGUGUUAAUUUCACUAAGUCUGAGAUCUGUUUGCCAUAUGCAUUUUUGCCAUGCUUGUUUGAACCUGUUAAUGGAUGAAUUGGCCGUAGCUCAGUGCUAGACUUUUGUUAAGCAUCUUGUGUUCAUCCCUGUCAUGUAUUUUGUUGUCAUGUUUGGGUGCUGUAGCAUGUUCAUCUCAUUGCAUUUAGAUGCCUACAUGCUGUAAAUCGCAGACCGGUGUCAUAUUUGAAUCGAUUGCCAUUUCCAAACCAUAACUCUGAUUCCAGCGUUCUUUAUAUUGUUUUCAAGCGAUUUCAUCUCAUCUUUCCAGUGGAACACUUGGUUUUCCAAGUUGAGGCCAGGUUCAUGCAUUUCCUGUCAUAUCUUGCAUUUUGCAUCCCGUAUCGCAUUCCGCAUAGCAUAUCAUCAUUUCAUCAUAUUGCUUGGUCUUGCACGUGGUUGAUUGUAUCCAUGUUGCUUGUUUGUUUUGUUUGGGUAGAGCUGGGAGACGAGUUCUCUAACGAGGAGCCCGUUGAGUUUGCUUUCGAGGAUCCAGUCAACUCUGACAACUCUGCAGGCAAGAUGAUCAUACCCUCGAAAUCACUACUAUCUUUGCUAUGCUAGUUUGCUCGCUCUUUUGCUAUGCCAUUGCUACGAUGCCUACCACUUGCUUGCAAGCCUCCCAAAUUGCCAUGUCAAACCUCUAACCCACCUUGUCCUAGCAAACCGUUGAUUGGCUAUGUUACCGCUUUGCUCAGCCCCUCUUAUAGCGUUGCUACUUGUAGGUGAAGAUUGGAGGCUGUUCCUUGUUGGAACAUCUUUUACUUACUUGUUGGGAUAUCAUUAUAUUGCUAUGUUAUCUUAAUGCAUCUAUAUACUUGGUAAAGGGUGGAAGGCUCGGCAUCUCGCCUAGUGUUUUGUUCCACUCUUGCCGCCCUAGUUUCCGUCAUAUCGGUGUUAUGUUCCCGGAUUUUGUGUUCCUUACGCGGUUGGGUUAUAUGGGAACCCCUUGAUAGUUCGCCUUGAUUAAAGCUUUUCCAGCAAUGCCCAACAUUGGUCUUAACAUUCGCCACCUAGCCUUUUCUUUCCCUUGGGUUCUGCAGACUCAAGGGUCAUCUUAUUUUACCCCCCCCCCCCCGGGCCAGUGCUCCUCUGAGUGUUGGUCCAACCGAGCGAUGUCCGGGGCUACUAGGGGCAACUCUGGGCUGGCCUACCCGACGUCUGGCUCAUCUGAGUGUGCCCUGAGAAUGAGAUAUGUGCAGCUCCUAUCGGGAUUUUUCGGCACAUUCGGGCGGUGUUGCUGGUCUUGUUUUAACUUGUCGAAGUGUCUUGAAUUACCGAGAUACCGAGUCUGAUCGGAAUGUCUUGGGAGGAGGUCUAUUCCUUCGUUGACCAUGAGAGCUUGUCAUGGGCCAAAUUGGGACUCCCCUGCAGGGAUUUGAACUUUCAAAAGCCGUGCCCGCGGUUAUGGGCAGAUGGGAAUUUGUUAAUGUCUGGUUGUAGAUAACUUGAACCUUAAUUUAAUUAAAAUGAAUCAACUGAGUGUGUUACCAUGAUGGCCUCUUCUCGGCGGAGUCCGGGAAGUGGACACGGUAUUGGAGUAAUGUUUGCGCAGGCUGCUCUCUAGUUUCUUGCUCGCGCUUUGCCUCCUCUUCUCUCUCUCUUUUGCGAAUAAGUUAGCCACCAUACUUGCUAGUCGCUUGCUGCAGCUCCACUCAUAUUCACCUUGCCAUACCUAUAAGCUUAAAUAGUCUUGAACGCGAGGGUGCGAGAUUGCUGAGUCCCUGUGGCUCACAGAUUACUGUUACACCAGAUGCAGGGCCUGAUGAUUCCACUCCAGGAGAUGCGUAUGAGCUCAAGUGGGAGUUCGACGAAGACUCUCAACGUUACUACGUUUCCUUUCCCGAUGAUCAGUAGUGGUGCCCAGUUGGGGGUGAUUGGGACCGUGUCGCAUGUUGGGUUCUCUUCUAUUUUGGCGCCGUAGUCGGGCCAUGAGUGUUUGCAUGAUGUAAUGUUAUUUAUGUACUUGAUUGACGUGGUGAGUGUAAGCCAACUAUGUUAUCUCCCUUUUCAUUAUUAUAUUACAUGGGAUGUUGUGAAGAUUGCCUAACUUGCGACAUAUGCCUUCAAUGCGAUUAUGUCUCUAAGUCAUGCCUCGACACGUGGGAGCUAUAGUCGCAUCGAGGGUGUUACAAGUUGGUAAUCAGAGCCUUCCCCGACCUUAGGAGCCCCAUUGCUUGAUCGUUUUAGCGGCCGAGUUGUGUCUAGAAAAAUGUUUUGAGUCUUUUAGGAAUUAUAUAUCGAAGAAUUUAGGAAUUCUUUUUACUUCCCAGUCUCCUCAUCGCUCUGGUAAGGCAUCCUGACGUAGAGUUUUGACUCUUCUCUUCUCAAAUUUCACUAAAAAAAUUUAGGAUCACGCGGGUAUCUUGGAAUCGUUCCAAUGGUUUUAUGAUGAGAACAUUGUCUUGGUGCCUCCUGUCAGGGGUUUAGUGGAAUUGUCCCGGGGAGUUGAGCUCUAAGGUGUUGUCAUCAUAAUUUUAUCGUUGCAGUUCUGGAAUACCUGAGUCUAGUACGCCGACAUCGAAAAUCUCUUUUAUGCAGUUCGUUGGUGAGAUAACCUCGACGCCACCCAGUACUGGGGCGGGAGUUCGGGAGUAUCGCCAUAACUUGUAUAAUGGAUGCUUUUCGAAGGUUGAGGUAGAUGGUUUCCGAAGGUUUCUUGGUUAUGUGUUGAAGGAUGGAUACAGCUGGAUGUAGGAUUUGCUAGUUUGGGUGAGAUAUUAUGCUUCCCCUGUAUCCCCAACACCUGAUUGCAUAACCGGAAAGGUUCGGGAGUUUCAUAGGUGGGAAUUCUAGUAGCUCUAGUUCUUCUUCCACGGAUAUUGGUUUGAGAUUGGGUUUUCUUACCGAUUAUUCGUUCUUGAUCCGUACCUUGUUGAUGUAUUUCUCUACCUUAAUUCUACGUGGCUUCUCAAUUUAUGGAUAUGUGACCAUUUCAAGAGAAAUGCAUUCGUUCAUUUUGUUCGGAUGUGAAGACUAUAUGUUGCAAUUUUCAUUCCGUUGGAUUCAGCUUCAAUAUUUAUCUAUCAAUGUGCUAAUGGUGGUCAACCUCUUCAGGAUGGCUCCUCCAACGCGCAUGACUCCGAAUCCUGAUCCGCCACCACCUCCCCCUCCUCCGGAGGCAUGGCAAGCUGUGUUGGCCGCAACAAAUGCAAACACACAGUUGAUCAUGCAAAUUCUUCAAGAGCACAAUCAAGGCAACCAAGGGAAUCAAGGCAGCAAUCAGAGUCACUUUGCUACACUUAACCAGCUCCUUGCUAACAUGCCAAAGACUUUCAACAAUUGUGUUGAGGCAACCGAUGCUGACGAUUGGCUUGUGGAUCUGUGUAAGCAUUUCGAGUGCAGUAAUGUCAGGCCUGAGGACUUUGUCAAGUUCGCUUCCUUCCAACUCAAAGAUCAAGCUGCAGAAUGGUUCCAGCAGUACAAGGAUUCCAGAGGUGGACGUGUUAUCACUUGGGAUGAUUUCCGUCGAGAUUUCAGGGCUCAUCAUAUUCCCCAGAGCGUGGUUGAAAGCAAGCGUGAGGAAUUCCGCAAUUUGAAGCAAGGCUCUUUAUCUGUCUAUGACUACAACAAGUUGUUACAGAAGCUCGCCCGCUUUGCCAAGAAGGACGUCCCUGAUGAGAAGAGCAUGAUAUACCAGUUCAGGGGUGGUCUCAGAGAAGAAAUUCAGCUAGCUCUUGUUCUCUUUGAGCCCUUGAGAUACGAUGAGUUCUACAACAUGGCACUGAAGCAAGAGGCUGCUCAGUUGAGGUGUGAUGCUUCCAAGAAGCGAGUCAGAGAUGUUACUCCUUCUUCCUCUACUCAAGUGGCAAAGCAGCAGAAGUUUUGGCUUCCUCCUCCUCCAUUCCGUCAGCCGUAUCAGCAGAAGAGCAAAGGUGGCAGUGGUUCUUCCCACCCACCCAACCCUGGCUUUCAGAACAAGACUUCAUCUCAAGCUCCAAGAUCGAGUGCUCCGUAUCACCGUCCGCUUUCAGAGGUCACGUGCAACAAGUGCCAACAGAAGGGUCACUAUGCCAACAAGUGUUUCAACCAGAGGCGUCUUCCUCCUCCUCCUCCUGUGAGAUCAGCAAGUACAGUUGUGGUCAAGCAUAACCCCAAGUCUGCCAAGGUCAACUUGACGAAUGUAGCUCAGGCAGAGGACUCAUCAGAUGUCAUCAUGGGUAACCUUCCUGUUAAUGAUAUUCCUGCAAAAGUUCUUUUUGACACGGGUGCAUCGCAUUGUUUCAUCUCGAGGCCAUUUGUUUCUAAGCAUGAGUUGCCUUUACAAGAUUUGCCUAGACAGUUAUCUGUUGUUUCUCCGGGUAAAUUCAUGAAUGCAAGUGCUAUUGCCCCAGAUGUUUCUAUCACAUUGGGCGAUUACAAGUUUCUCUCUUCUCCGGUGGUUCUUGGUAACUCGGAUAUUGAUCUUAUUCUCGGAAUGGAUUGGCUUUCUAAGAACAAGGCGCAUCUUGAUUGUGCAGCCAGGCAGAUUCAAUUGUCUCAUUCAUCUGAGGAUGUAAUUGUCUUUGCCGCUCGGGAUAAUACAAUCCGUCUGUUUUCUCUCAAUGAGAAGGGUGAAUUGGAUGCCAUCUCUCAAAUUCCAGUCGUUUGCGAAUAUCAAGACGUCUUUCCAGAAGAGCUUCCAGGAAUGCCUCCGCACCGGCCAGUUGAAUUCGUUAUUGAUCUUGAGCCUGGUACGGAACCUGUGUGCAAACGUCCUUACAAGCUCGGACCUGAAGAGUUGAAGGAGCUGAAGAAGCAACUCGAUAUUCAAGAGAAAAUGGGUCUCAUCCGGCCUAGUUCUUCUCCAUGGGGUUGUGGUGUUCUUUUUGUGAAGAAGAAGGAUGGAACGGACCGACUUUGUGUUGAUUACCGUCCAGUGAACAAGAAGACCAUCAAGAACAAAUACCCACUUCCCAACAUCAAUGAGCUGUUCGAACAACUCAAAGGUGCCCAAGUAUUCUCCAAGCUUGAUCUCCGCAUGGGUUAUCAUCAGAUUCGAAUCCGUGAGCAAGAUAUUCCCAAGACGGCCUUCAGGACAAGCUUUGGUUCAUAUGAAUACACUGUCAUGUCUUUUGGCCUCGUCAAUGCUCCUCCGACGUUCUCUCGCAUGAUGAAUUUCAUCUUCAAUGCCUACACCAAUGACUUCGUUUUGGUCUAUCUCGACGACAUUCUGGUUUUCUCCAAGAACAAGGAAGAUCAUGCCAAAAACUUGUGUUUGGUUCUUGAUAAGCUCAGAGAACAUCAGUUCUACGCCAUGUUCUCCAAGUGUGAAUUUUGGCUCGAUGAGGUUCUUUAUCUUGGUCAUAUCAUCUCUGCCAAGGGCAUUGCCAUGAAUCCUGAGAAGGUGUCUGCAAUUGUGAAUUGGGAACCUCCUCAGAACGUGAAGCAACUCCGUAGCUUCCUCGGUCUCGCAAGCUAUUGCCGAAGAUUCGUUGAAAACUUUUCUAAAAUCGCGAAGCCUCUCUCUAAUCUUCUCCAGAAGCACGUCAAGUACGUUUGGUCUCCGGAGUGUGACAUUGCUUUCAACACUUUGAAAGAGAAAUUGAUCACUGCUCCAGUUCUGACUCCGCCUGAUGAAUCCAAGCCAUGCGAGGUCUUUUGUGAUGCCUCUCUCCAAGGUCUUGGCGCAGUAUUGAUGCAAGAGAAGAAAGUUGUUGCUUAUACCUCUCGCCAGUUGAAGCCUAAUGAGAAGAACUACCCCACUCAUGAUCUCGAGUUGGCGGCAGUUGUGCAUGCUCUUUUGACUUGGAGACAUCUUCUAUUGGGAAGAAAAGUGGACAUUUUCACUGAUCACAAGAGUCUCAAGUACAUCUUCACUCAGCCUAAUCUCAACCUCAGGCAAACUCGAUGGGUCGAAAUGAUUCAAGAGUAUAAUCCGAGUAUCGAGUAUACUCCAGGCAAGGCCAAUGUGAUUGCUGACGCUUUGAGCAGAAAGGCCUACUGCAACAGUCUGAUUCUUAAGCCUUAUCAACCCGAGCUUUGUGAAGUUUUCCGCAAACUUAAUCUGCAAGUUGUUCCUCAAGGUUUCCUCGCCAACCUUCAAGUCUCUCCUACCUUAGAAGACCAGAUUCGCCAAGCCCAGCUUCUUGAUGCUAUGGUGAAAAAGGUGAAGAUUGGGAUUGCCAAGAGUCAACCCAAGUACAAGUGCUACCGCCUUGAUGACAAGGACACUCUCUUCUUUGAGGAUCGUAUUGUUGUGCCCAAAGGUGACCUCCGUAAAGUGAUCAUGAACGAGGCUCACAAUUCUCUCCUCUCCAUCCACCCUGGGAGCACGAAGAUGUAUCAGGACCUCAAGCAAGCUUAUUGGUGGACUCGAAUGAAGCGCGAAAUCGCUCAAUUCGUGAAUGAAUGUGAUGUCUGCAGAAGAGUGAAGGCAGAACACCAAAGGCCAGCAGGUCUCCUCCAACCUCUUGCCAUUCCAGAAUGGAAGUUUGACCACAUUGAAAUGGACUUCGUGACUGGGUUUCCAAAGUCCAAGCGUGGCAAUGAUGCUAUAUUCAUUGUCAUCGACAAACUCACCAAAGUGGCUCAUUUUCUGCCUAUCAAAGAGUCGAUCACUGCAGCUCAAUUGGCGGAACUCUAUACCUCUCGUAUUGUCUCUCUGCACGGUAUUCCACAAGUGAUCUCUUCAGACCGUGGCAACAUCUUUACCUCGAAGUUUUGGGAUUCUUUUCAGAAGGCCAUGGGCACCAACAUCCGUUUCAGCACAGCUUUCCAUCCUCAAACUAGUGAUCAAGUCGAGCGUGUCAACCAGAUUCUUGAAGAUAUGCUCAGGGCUUGUGUGAUCUCCUUCGGCAUGAAGUGGGAGGAUUGUCUUCCUUAUGCUGAAUUCUCCUACAACAACAGUUUUCAAGCAAGUUCGGGCAAGGCCCCAUUUGAAAUUCUAUAUGGUAGGAAGUGCCAUACCCCUCUCAACUGGUCUGAAACCGGUGAACGUCAGCUUUUGGGUAAUAACUUAAUCACAGAGGCAGAAGAAAUGUGCAAAGUCAUUCGUGAUAACCUCAAAGCAUCCCAAUCCCGCCAGAAGAGAUACUAUGAUAGUAAGCACCGUGAUUUGGCUUUCGAGAUCGGAGAUCAUGUUUACCUCCGCGUCUCUCCUAUAAAAGGUACUCGUCGCUUCGGUAUCAAAGGGAAGCUUGCCCCUAGAUACGUGGGACCUUUCAAGAUUGUCAGCAAGAGAGGCGACCUUGCCUAUCAACUCGAGCUUCCUUCAAACUUUGCCAAUGUUCAUGACGUGUUCCAUGUCUCUCAGCUUCGAAAGUGCUUCAAGACUCCUGACCGCACCGUCAACUUCGAGGACAUUGAGCUCCAAGAAGAUCUCUCUUAUCGUGAGCACCCAGUUGCUAUUCUUGAAGAGACUGAACGCAAGACUCGCAACAAGUCAAUCAAAUUUCUCAAAGUCAAGUGGUCACACCAUUCCGACCGUGAAGCUACCUGGGAACGCGAGGAUCACCUCCGUUCUGAGUACCCGGCGUUCUUUCAGUCCUAGAUCUCGGGAUGAGAUCCUUUCGUAGUGGUGGAGUGUUGUAACACCCCGGAUGUAACUUUCCCAAUUUGUACUCCAACUCUUGUCAUUUCCGGCGUUAAUUAUAUUUAUUUCCUCGGGUUCGGGUUUUGUCUCCGUGUGUUGUUGUCGUUGUCAUGCAUCUCAUAUAAUGUCAUCAUGUGCAUUGCAUCUGCAUACGUGUUCGUCUCUUGCAUUCGAGCUUUUUCCCCGUUGUCCGUUUUGCAUUCCGGCGCUUCGUUCUCCUCCGGUGGUCAUUUCUAACUUUCUUUCAUGUGUGGGGAUUAAACAUUUCCGGAUUGGACCGAGACUUGCCAAGUGGCCUUGGUUUACUACCGGUAGACCGCCUAUCAAGUUUCGUACCAUUUGGACUCCGUUUGAUACUCCAACGGUUAACCGAGGGACCAAUAAGGCCUCGUGUGUGUUGCAGCACAACACCCCUCCAAUUUGGCCCAAAACCCACCUAACUCUGCUCCAUCACCUAGAGUGUUCAAUCACGAUCGCGUCGCCGAAAACCGCACCUCAUUUGGACUCUCCUAGCUCCCUCUAUGCCUAUUUAAACACCCCCCGAUUUUCGGAUCUCCUCCUACCUUCGAAACCCUAGAAAUCGUCCCUGCGCUGCACCGGACGAAAACCUGCCGACGGACAUUGUCCGGCCCACCUCUCCGCCGCCACGUGGCGCCCCGGGAUUCAUCCGCCCGGGCGCCCACAUCGCCCGCCGCCGCCACUCCCGCCGGCNNNNNNNNNNNNNNNNNNNNNNNNNNNNNNNNNNNNNNNNNNNNNNNNNNNNNNNNNNNNNNNNNNNNNNNNNNNNNNNNNNNNNNNNNNNNNNNNNNNNNNNNNNNNNNNNNNNNNNNNNNNNNNNNNNNNNNNNNNNNNNNNNNNNNNNNNNNNNNNNNNNNNNNNNNNNNNNNNNNNNNNNNNNNNNNNNNNNNNNNNNNNNNNNNNNNNNNNNNNNNNNNNNNNNNNNNNNNNNNNNNNNNNNNNNNNNNNNNNNNNNNNNNNNNNNNNNNNNNNNNNNNNNNNNNNNNNNNNNNNNNNNNNNNNNNNNNNNNNNNNNNNNNNNNNNNNNNNNNNNNNNNNNNNNNNNNNNNNNNNNNNNNNNNNNNNNNNNNNNNNNNNNNNNNNNNNNNNNNNNNNNNNNNNNNNNNNNNNNNNNNNNNNNNNNNNNNNNNNNNNNNNNNNNNNNNNNNNNNNNNNNNNNNNNNNNNNNNNNNNNNNNNNNNNNNNNNNNNNNNNNNNNNNNNNNNNNNNNNNNNNNNNNNNNNNNNNNNNNNNNNNNNNNNNNNNCCACCACCAGUCGCCGCCACCGCGCCCUACGCCGCCGCCCCCGGCCACCGGUGUCCGUGCCCGCCGGCCGCCAUCGUCCGGCCUCCCCCUCGUCGCCGGCAACCUCCUCCUCUCUGGCAGCUACAGUUCCUCGCCGGAGUUCCUCGAUUUCCGUGCGCGAGAUCUAGAUCCAAAAAACCCUAGAGGUUGAUUUUUUUGUCCAAGUCCCGAAAUUCUCAGUCCAAGUGCUCAUGUUCGCGGCUCCGUAACUUUGCAUCCAUAGCUCUGAUUCAUGCAUGUAGCAUAUCAAAAUGUUCAUCUCAGAGAGUACAUCAUUUCAUUCCAUUGUAUCAUUUUCAUUUGGGUUCAUCUUGAUGCCCGAAAUGCUGUUAGAAGAGGGCUACUUGAGUUAAUUGUCAGAUCUGUUACUCCGUUUAGCACUUUUGUCAUUUUUGUCACGAUUAUUGUGUGCUUGAUAUGCCCGUGAGUUCUACAUAUGUUUUGUUAAGGGCUUUGUCAUCUCUCCAGAGGUGCAACCCAUGUAUUUUUAGGAUGUGUGUAGUGACUAGUGCAAGCUUGCAAAGUGGUGCACUUGCUAAUUCUGUUUUCAGGGACUUAGUAAUUUCACUAAGUCCUGGAGCUGUUUAUCUCAUGAUGCCAUAUGUUCAUGUUGUUUCCUAUUGAUCCGUGACUCUUUUGAGGAUGAGCAGUAAGGAUGUUUUGUUAAUAUUGUAGUGCUCUAUCCAUCCAUGUCUUUGUUUGCAAUUAUGGAGCAACCUAGCUUGAGUCAAUCGAGCUCUACUUUUGCUACUUUGUGAAUCUGGGCAGAUUGUCAACUUGUUUGCAAUUUUGCCGGUGAUGUUGUAGUUGAUCCGUGCAUGCUAUGCUAUUGUUCUUGCCAUGUCUAGCUUUAGUUUUGUGCCUUCUUGAUAGAUGUAUGCUUGCCUUGCCAUGCCUUACAACGUAGUGAGUGCAUCGAGCUCGUAAACAUGCCUACUUGAGCUAUAUUUCAGCUUGCUCCAGUUUUCACUUAAGUAUGAAAACUGAUUAUGUUUUUGCUAUGUUCACAUGCUUGCAAUUGUAUUUUCUGGUCCUUUUUGGCUCAAUGUCACUAAGGGACUUUUGUUAAGCUCUUUGAGUAGCUCCACGCCAUGCUUUACUUUUCCAUGUUCAGAUCCUGUAGCAUGUAGUUUUGUUUCUCCGAAGAGGGCUACCUUGAUCUGAAAUUCCAGACAAGUGUUAAUUUCACUAACUCUAAGAUCUGUUUGCCAUAUGCAUUUUUGUCAUGCUUGUUUGAACCUGUUAAUGGAUGAAUUGGCCGUAGCUCAGUGCUAGACUUUUGUUAAGCAUCUUGUGUUCAUCCCUGCCAUGUAUUUUGUUGUCAUGUUUGGGUGUUGUAGCAUGUUCAUCUCAUUGUAUUUAGAUGCCUACUUGCUGUAAAUCGCAAACCGGCGUAAUAUUUGAAUCGCUUGCCAUUUCCAAACCAUAACUCUGAUUCUAGCGUUCUUUAUAUUGUUUUCAAGCGAUUUCAUCUCAUCUUUCCAGUGGAACACUUGGUUUUCCAAGUUGAGGCCAGGUUCAUGCAUUUCCUGUCAUAUCUUGCAUUUUGCAUCCCGUAUUGUAUUCCGCAUAGCAUAUCAUCAUUUCAUCAUAUUGCUUGGUCUUGCACGUGGUUGAUUGUAUCCAUGUUGCUUGUUUGUUUUGUUUGGGUAGAGCUGGGAGACGAGUUCUCUAACGAGGAGCCCGUUGAGUUUGCUUUCGAGGAUCCAGUCAACUCUGACAACUGUGCAGGCAAGAUGAUCAUACCCUCGAAAUCACUACUAUCUUUGCUAUGCUAGUUUGCUCGCUCUUUUGCUAUGCCAUUGCUACGAUGCCUACCACUUGCUUGCAAGCCUCCCAAAUUGCCAUGUCAAACCUCUAACCCACCUUGUCCUAGCAAACCGUUGAUUGGCUAUGUUACCGCUUUGCUCAGCCCCUCUUAUAGCGUUGCUAGUGCAGGUGAAGAUUGGAGGCCGUUCCUUGUUGGAACAUCUUUUACUUACUUGUUGGGAUAUCAUUAUAUUGCUAUGCUAUCUUAAUGCAUCUAUAUACUUGGUAAAGGGUGGAAGGCUCAGCAUCUCGCCUAGUGUUUUGUUCCACUCUUGCCGCCCUAGUUUCCGUCAUAUCGGUGUUAUGUUCCCGGAUUUUGCGUUCCUUACGCGGUUGGGUUAUAUGGGAACCCCUUGAUAGUUCGCCUUGAUUAAAGCUUUUCCAGCAAUGCCCAAGAUUGGUCUUACCAUUCGCCACCUAGCCUUUUCUUUCCCUUGGGUUCUGCAGACUCAAGGUUCAUNNNNNNNNNNNNNNNNNNNNNNNNNNNNNNNNNNNNNNNNNNNNNNNNNNNNNNNNNNNNNNNNNNNNNNNNNNNNNNNNNNNNNNNNNNNNNNNNNNNNNNNNNNNNNNNNNNNNNNNNNNNNNNNNNNNNNNNNNNNNNNNNNNNNNNNNNNNNNNNNNNNNNNNNNNNNNNNNNNNNNNNNNNNNNNGGUCCAACCGAGCGAUGUCCGGGGCUACCAGGGGCAACUCUAGGCUGGCCUACCCGACGUCUGGCUCAUCUGAGUGUGCCCUGAGAAAGAGAUAUGUGCAGCUCCUAUCGGGAUUUGUCGGCACAUUCGGGCGGUGUUGCUGGUCUUGUUUUAACUUGUCGAAGUGUCUUGAAUUACCGAGAUACCGAGUCUGAUCGGAACGUCUUGGGAGGAGGUCUAUUCCUUCGUUGACCAUAAGAGCUUGUCAUGGGCUAAGUUGGGACUCCCCUGCAGGGAUUUGAACUUUCGAAAGCCGUGCCCGCGGUUAUGGGCAGAUGGGAAUUUGUUAAUGUCCGGUUGUAGAUAACUUGAACCUUAAUUUAAUUAAAAUGAAUCAACUGAGUGUGUUACCGUGAUGGCCUCUUCUCGGUGGAUACUGGGAAGUGGACAAAGUGUUGGAGUAAUGUUUGCGCAGGCUGCUAUCUAGUUUCUCGCUCGCGCUUUGCCUCCUCUUCUCGCUCUCUUUUGCAAAUAAGUUAGCCACCAUACUUGCUAGUCGCUUGCUGCAGCUCCACUCAUAUUCACCUUGCCAUACCUAUAAGCUUAAAUAGUCUUGAACGCGAGGGUGCGAGAUUGCUGAGUCCCUGUGGCUCACAGAUUACUAUUACACCAGAUGCAGGGCCUGAUGAUUCCGCUCCAGGAGACGCGUAUGAGCUCAAGUGGGAGUUCGACGAAGACUCUCAACGUUACUACGUUUCCUUUCCCGAUGAUCAGUAGUGGUGCCCAGUUGGGGGUGAUUGGGACCGUGUCGCAUGUUGGGUUCUCUUUUAUUUUGGCGCCGUAGUCGGGCCAUGAGUGUUUGGAUGAUCUGAUGUUAUUUAUGUACUUGAUUGACGUGGCGAGUGUAAGCCAACUAUGUUAUAUCCCCUUUCAUUAUUAUAUUACAUGGGAUGUUGUGAAGAUUGCCUAACUUGCGACAUAUGCCUUCAAUGCGAUUAUGUCUCUAAGUCGUGCCUCGACACGUCGGAGCUAUAGUCGCAUCGAGGGUGUUACAUGCACCCUGUACCAGUGCAGCCCGCCACGGGAUAGCACGGACUUGGUGCCGAAUAUCACUUCUUUAUGCACUUCUCCCGGCCUGACAAUGCUUCUCGGCGGUUGGAUGGAGCCCAACGAUAAAACAUAGCAGCCAGCUUCCCUCCCAGCUGCCAGACACGGGUAUAUCAGUACCCUGUAUUCGACGGUUGGGGGGUGACGGUACAUCCCCAAGAACGUGAAGUCCAUAGGCACCAUGCGGCGGGCAUACUGACGGGCUGCUGGGUUGCAGAUACCCAAGGACUCGCGGCGCCACCAGUCGAACACAACGAGGCCGUCAAAGGAGGCCACCAGAUCUUUGAAUUCGGAGGCUCGGCCAAGUAGCACGACGGGCUAGAGCUUGUCGGCGGCGGCCCGGUGGUCGAAGGGGAUGAUGUCUAUGUCGCCACCGACCUUGUAGUGGCUGUAGUGGGGAAGGUUGCGGACGUAGAGGAGGGGGCGGGUGGGCUGGCGGGCGUGGUUGGCGAUGAGGAAGUCACGGGCGGAGGUGGCUGUGCGCCAGGCACGGCAGACGGCACGGCAGCGGAGGAGCGAUUUGGGGGGCAGGCGGACGAGGAUGUCCUAGAUGAGUAUCUCAUCCGGGAUGCUACCAUGAGGAGGCGUCGGCCCUCCCCUUGCUGCCUCCGCCAUGGCGGCCGGCGUGAAGCUAGACCUGCAUCUCGAUCUGUCGCACGGUAGAGAGGACAAGUAGAGACGUGUGGGGAAAAGUGGUAGGUAGUGACGGCUGAGGGUUUCAUGGUCGUGGUCGUGGGGAUAGGAAUAAUAUGUGCCUUUUUUUCUUUUCUUUUUUUAACAGGUAUUAGGCGCCGUAGGCGUCCAAUUUCAUUCAGCCCAAAACCAGCGUACAGCCCCUAAAAAACAUGUUGUACAAAGUCCUGGAGAUUUAGAUGGGAAAGAAGAUAGAUUACAAGGCAACGCAUGUGUGUUCUGUGAGCUGAACCAUGCAACUACCUCAUGAGCAACAUUACGAGCAAUACCAUUGAUCUUCCUAGAUAUGUGAUACACCUGCAUGUGGACAUGUUUUGUUGACCCGAAGAGAUCACAAGAGUGGUUCUAAUAGUCCAAGGAAUAGAAUCAGCUGAAAUAGGUUCUCAAAAACAAAAAUCAACCAUAAAAAAUUCCAAUUCUUGAUUGGCCCUCCCCUUCCCCUCGCGUCGCCCUCCCGAGGGCGACUCGAGGGUUCCCUCCCCCGGCCGCCGCUAACCCCCUUCUCGGACCUCCCCUCCUCACCGUCGCCGGAGGCAGUCGUCGGGCUCCCCACGCGGCCACUGAAGAGGGCGGCGGCGGGGUUCUCUGCCGCUCUGUCGCUGGGCAGGGGGCUAGAGCUCGGGGCGGCGGCUCCAGGUGGUGCGGGCAGCGUCCCUUAGCGCGGUGGGCCGCCUCUGCCCAGCUGUGUGGGUGACGGGCCCGCGGUGGAUCCAAGCGGCUGGUGGUCGGGUCCCCGUGUGUGGCCUCUCCAGAUCUGAAGAUGCCUCCUUUGGCUACUGACGCGGCCUCUCCUACGCCAUGUCUUGCUGGAUCCGGUGGACGACCCCAUGGUGGUGGGGUGAGGAGCCCUGGAUCGGGGUAACCUCUUGGUCCGCGGCGGCGGCCACAUCGUCGGCGGUGCUCCGGGCGCCACUACUCUUCCCGAAGGCGACGUUGAGGUCCAUCUCCCUCCCCUCCUCCCUCCCCUACUCCGGGUGAAAAUCCACAGCCUUGGUUGGGCGGCGACGGUGCUCCUGCACCUCCUUCUUGAAGGCAUCGUUUUGGGUUGUGGGAUGGAGGAUGGCCUAGGCAAGCCUUUGGUGUCCUAGUUAGCGGUGGAUCCUUCGUCCAACAGUGACUUCCUGCCAUGGAGGAUCAAUGCCCUCCUCAAGCUGCUUCAUUUCCUCCUCUGCGCGGUCCCGUUGUCCGGUGGGUCGACGCCCUUGGCCUGGGCGAGAGGGGAUAGUGGUCCCCUCUAUGGCGAUCUGGUCGUGUUGUUGGAGGAGUGUCGCUGGUCUUAGUGUGGCUCGGCCCUCCUGGUGGCGCCGUUGCCCAUUGCUCGCUGUGUCUUCUUGAAGUGCUCUAUUCCUAUGGCUACUCUCUGCGGCAUGCUCCUCACGUGCAAGUUGCAAUUUGUGGCUUCGGGUGUGCUCGAGUGGUAGCCCUGUUUUCUUGCUGGCUCUAGCGAGAGCAGCUCCGCUUUGCCUUCGGCGUGUCGGUGGUGAGCUCCUUCCUUGGCGCAAUCCCGUCUAGCCCCUGUUAGGUCUCCAAGUUGUACUCUUUUUAUUCUCUGGUCAUAGAUUUUAGCCUCAUCGGUGCCUUGCAUCUGCUGCCUGGGGUUGCAUCCCCAUUUUCCUUUUUAUCUUCGGUUGUAUGGUGUGCUCUUGUAAUCCUGGUCGGUUGAUGGCUUUGUUAAUUCAAAGUCGGGUGAAGAUCAAGCCCUACUCAGGCUCGGUUCGACCCUUUCAUCUAAAAAACAAAAGUCAGGUGAAAUACUUCUGGCCGCAGCCACUUUUGCAAAGAGAUUAAUCUGCAAAGCAUGGGUCACUUUGGCCGCAAGAACAAGAGCCAAAGCUUCACCCUGAAGAGGAGAUUAAGUGAUCAGAGCCGAUGUUUGAAUCUGCACUUGAGUGUCCCUCUGGUCCUGCAAGAUAGCUAUGAUGCCAUGCAAUAAGCCAGGGAUUUUUCUUGCACAUGAAUGUCGCAUCAGAGUAAUCUUUUGAUCUUGCGAUAAGUACAUCAGUGCGAAGGGUGCGGCCCCCUGAUGAAUCGUCAUCACACUCAUGGACCCUUGGAUGUGGUGUUGCACAUUAACCUGGCUAGGAUCAAAAGAGUUCACCAAAGAAAUAGUUUGAUCAAGCAAAGUAGUAGCAACAAUAUACACAUGAUGAGGAAAAGAGCACUUUCUAGCAAAAAGGCAAUCAUUCUAGAUUUCCGUCUGCACCGCAUGAAAUUGAAAAUGGUAAGUAUUGAUGCAUACUUGCAUAGGGGUAAUUCAUAUUAAGUAAAGCAUGAAUAACACUAUGCAAAGAGAGAUGAUUAUGCCUUCAAAUAUCAGAUCUAAUGUACCAAGGAUGACCAAACCAAGCUACUCGGGUAAGGUCACAAAGGAAAAAUAGGUACAUAUCAUUUUCACCUUGGUCAAAACGGCAACAUAUUUUUGGAAAUCUGAAUAGUGAGAUGACCAGCCCUCAAACCUAUGCAAGAGAUUUACGAAGAAGUCUCCAACCGAAAGUUUUGACUCUCGGAACCAUCCAUUUGUUCUUCCAGCCCUACGUAAGAAUGUCUUUAAACAGAGAUAUUGGUAGGAAGAUUCCUUGGUAUGUUAUGAAUAUCACGCAAAUACAACUAGUAAGUAGACAUGGAGUUCCAGCCCUAUUUGCCAUUUGGAUUGAGAUCCCAGCCAGGAAUGUCUGAGUGAUAAUGGAAGCCAUGUGUUCUUUUAAAAGAGCGUGAAUGAAACUAUAGUUCCAUUGUUUACCUGGACAGGAUAAAUAAUGAGGACAACUGGUUGGAUAAUGAGAUCGUUGUAAAUGUCUGCUCAAGCUGAGCACAAAGGAGUACUCCAGAUGGAUAUAUUCCCUUGACUAACUUGGAAAAAAUAGUGAGCUUUAAGUUUGGGGAGCAUUUUAAGAAUUUAUGACCAGAAGGCAUAUUUAGGAGUAUUUGCAAUAGCAACCUAAAUGGAUGUAUCGGGGAGCAUUUGGAUUUGAGCACUCAACAAAAAUGAGAAAGUGUGAGCAUUGGCAAGCCUCCACUUAGAGACAAGAACUACACCUUCAUUCAUAGCUUGGAGGUUUCUUCUACCUAGCCCACCCACUUGUUUGGAUGUACAAAUAUCCUUCCAAGCUCUGAGGCAAAGACUUUCGAUGGAGUUGUUCUCUCUUAUUCUUGGCCAACAAAAAGUUCAGAUGAUAACAGUGAGCUUAUAUUAGCAAUAUUUUUUUGGUGAAUAAGAUAAUCGACACAUAAUCGACAUGAGUUGAAGAGAAAAAUGAUCUGAUGAGCUCUAUCCUGGCUGCAUGAGAAAGCUUGUUAGCUUUGUAAGUAGGCGGUUUCGCCAUGAAUCUAUCAGGAACAAAGUUGUAAGUUGCAGCUCCGUUUUUGGCCCGAAGGAUUAGAGGAUGGCCCAAUGAGAAAAAUGCAUCCUUGGAAGGAAUUGGGAAAAUGUCUUUAAUGUCUGCAAUCAUAACUUUAUUUACAUAAGCACUAAAAAUAGGUGAUUUGGACCAGUUAGGAGUUUGACCUGAAAUGGCACAAAAAUGGUGGCUAAUUUGUGCCAUAGUGUGGGGUUCUUGCAUACUUGCAUGACCACAAACUAGGAGAUCGUCUGAAAAAGGAAGAGAAUGGACAGGAGGGUAAUUUGGGCCAAGCAUUACACCUUGAAGAUUGUUAUCACUGAUGGUACCAUUAAGGGACAGAGGAAGUUCAUUAAUUGCGAGCACAAAUUGAUAGGGUGACGAGAAUGGCCUUGACAAACACCCUAAUGGCCCUUGAAUCUCUAUAUCAGGUGUCCAUUAAUGAUGACACAGUAAGCAGGCGUGGAAACGCAUGCAUAAAUUAAUGACCAUGCAACCCUUUACGUGCGAGAGCCAAGACAGUGAAAUUCUAUUCAAUAUAGUCAAAAGAUUUAGCAAGAUGAAUCUUAAGCAUGAAAGCAUGAUGUUUCCAAGAUCUAAGUGAAAAAAGUGUGAGUAAUCUCUUGAGCAAUAAUAAUGUUACUAGGUGUCCGGCCUUUCAAUAAAUGCCUGUUGAGAUGGAUCAAAAUAAUCAGGUAGAUGGGGUUUGAGCCUAUUAGCUAAAGACUUAGAAAUGAUCUUAUAAAUAAUACUACAAAGUAUAAUAGGUCUAUAUUGAGUGCGAACUUGAAGAACCAGCUUUUUAUGGAUUAGAGGAAUGUUGCUGUCAGCAGGUGGGAGAAUACUUUUGUUUAUAGAAGUUGACCGCCAAGGUCGUGACUUCAUCAGCAAUCGAGUCACAAGUAGCAAGAUAAAACUCAACAUUGAAGCCAACCUGGCCACACAACAAGUUCAACUUCAUAUCCUUGAGGAUCUUCAAGAUUUCAUGCUUAUCUGGAAUAGAGGGGUCAUCCGAUUGAGUCAAUUGGUGAGAAGCAAUGUCGGCCUGCUCAUGUUGAUGUUAGAAGAGGCAAAAAUGAAUCUGACAAAAAACUGUUGGCAAUUUGAUUUGUUUUGAAAUGAAUCACAUCAUGUUCAUCCUUUAUUGAAAAAACAAAAUUUUUCCUUCUUGUUUUGAGAAUAGCCUACUGAAACAAUAUAGUGUUUCUAUCCCCAUCUUCAGCCCAUGUCUCGAAUUAUCAGUUUGGUUUGGCCUACUAGAUUGAUCUUUUUUGCAAUGGGAAAAGUGCUUAGCUUUGGGUUCAAUCUUGCGGUGUCCUUUCCCAGUGACAGCAGGGGAGCAAGGCACGUAUUGUAUUGUUGCCAUCGAGGAUAAAAAGAUGGGGUUUAUAUCAUAUUGCUUGAGUUUAUCCCUCUACAUCAAGUCUUCUUGCCUAAUGCAUUACUCUGUUCUUAUGAACUUAAUACUCAGUGGUCGAUGUGUGGAGUAAUAGUAGUAGAUGCAUAAUCGUUUCGGUCUACUUGUUGCGGACGUGAUGCCUAUAUACUGCCUAUAUACAUGAUCAUGCCUAUAUAUUCUCAUAAUUAUUCACUUUUCUAUCAAUUGCUCAACAGUAUUUUUUUCACCCACCGUAAUACUUAUGCUAUCUUGAGAGAAGCCACUAGUGAAACCUAUGGCCCCCGGGUCUAUCUUUUAUCAUAUAUGUUUCCAAUCUAUUUUACUUUGCAAUAUUUAUUUUCCAAUCUAUAUCAUAAAAAUACCAAAAAUAUUUAUUUUAUUAUCUCUAUCAGAUCUCACUCUCGUAAGUGACCGUGAAGGGAUUGACAACCCCUUUAUCGCGUUGGUUGCGAGGUUCUUAUUUGUUUGUGUAGGUACGAGGGACUUGCGUGUAGUCUCCUACUUGAUUGAUACAUUGGUUCUCAAAAACUGAGGGAAAUACUUACACUACUUUGCUGCAUCACCCUUUCCUCUUCAAGGGAAAACCAACGCAGUGAUCAAGAGGUAGGAACUCACCCGGACGGUUCUCUUGAGCGCUACAAGGCUCGGUUGGUGGUUCGUGGAUUUUGGCAGUGCGUGGGCGUGGACUUCACCGACACCUUCGCCCCGGUUGUUAAACUGGGCAUGAUCAGCGCCGUGCUCCAGUUGGCGAUCUCGCGCGCCUAGCCUGUGCACCAGUUGGAUGUCUACAACGUCUUCUUGCACGGCCAUCUUGCCAAGCAGGUGUACUGUGAGCAGCCCACUGGCUUCGUCGACGCUGAGCACCCAGACUUUGUGUGCUUGCUCUCCCAUUCUCUUUACGGGUUGAACCAAGCGCCUCGGGCUUGGUACCAGCAUAUCGCCGCCUUCUGCAGUCUAUGGGAUUUCGGUCCAGUCACUCCGAUGCCUCACUCUUUGUGUAUCAUCAGGGAGCUGACACUGCAUAUCUACUUCUCUAGGUCGACGACAUCAUCCUCACGGCGUCCACCCCCGGUCUCCUUCAGUGGCUGACUGCUAGUCUUCGUGAAAAGUUCGCCCUCAAGGACUUGGGGCCCCUCCACUAUUUCCUCGGCAUCGAGGUGGUCCGCCGGACUGAUGGUUUUUUUCUGCAUCAGCAGAAGUACGCCCACGAGCUCCUGGAGUGUGCCGGUAUGCUUAACUGCAAGCCGACGCCCACGCCCGUCGACACGAAGAUGAAGGUCUCUACUCUGUAGGGGUCUCUCGCGUCCGAUGGAGCGUUUUUUCGCUCCAUUGUUGGUGCUUUACAGUACAUGACGCUGACUCGGCCAGACCUGCAGUACGCCGUUCAGCAGGUGUGCCUCCACAUGCACGCUCUGCGUGACUCCCACUGGACCUUAGUGAGGCGUAUUCUUCGGUAUAUACUCGGCAACAUGUCUUUGGGACUCACCCUGAUGGCCUCCGCCUCCACCGACCUCGUGGCCUACUCAGAUGCCGACUAGACUAGCUGCCCCGACACUUGACGCUCCAUGUCAGGAUAGAGCGUCUACCUUGGGACCUCGUUGAUCUCUUGGUCAUCGAAGCGGCAGCCCACGGUCUCCCGCUCCAGCGCCGAGGCAGAGUAUCGCGCCGUGGCUAAUAACAUGGCCGAGUGCUCUUGGCUCCAUCAGCUGCUCCAGGAGUUGCUUUGUGAUAUUUAUAAGGCCACUCUUGUCUACUGCAAUAACGUAGCACGGUCUACCUUUCCGCCAACCCGGUGCACAUUGAUGUACGAAGUAUAUUGAGAAAGAUAUUCACUUCGUGCGCGAGCAGCUUGCCCUUGGCCGUGUUCGGGUUCUUCACGUGCCGACGUCGCAACAGUUUGCUGAUUAGAUGACUAAGGGAUUACCUACUUCCGUCUUCGAGGAGUUUCGGUCCAUUCUCCGUGUCUCUGGCGCCGCUUCGACUACGGGGGGUGUUGAGUUGUAUUUUGUGUUGCAUGUAUUACGUGUUGUGACCCACCUCCUAGUUGUGUAUAGUUGAGGUUGAGGUCUACCCUGUACUCAUAUAUACGUGCACCAGCACCCCAUCAAUACAACUAUUAUUGUAUUGCAAAACAUCUCUCUACACCAACCAUCCUCUUGCUUCGUUAUUGCCAUGACCUCCUUUAUUUGGUCUUCGUUUCAAGCUCGAAGAUACUCUGGGAAAAAAAUCCGGAUUAUUUUCUUCGCACAGACACAGACACUUUUGAUGGUGGUAUCUUCGCCAAUGCGAAGGUAUUCAUCCGCGUAGUAGGCCAAAACACCAUAUGCUAUCACUCUCAUCGCCGCCGAAUUUUUUUGAGAUGUACUAAAACCAAUCAAACCGGCGGCAUUCCUAUGUCGGGUGAAGAAACGGCAAUUGUGCUCACAAUCCUCGUUGAUGGAUGAAAAGUAACCUACGCAUUCGAUAUCGCCUACAGAAGAGGUGAGCUGGAUACGUCGGUACCUCGGCGAAGUAGUCCUUCAUAAGCAUUUUGUCACCGAGAGCUCGGUUGUGGGGAAUGCAUAGCUGACCGACCAUCGAUCCACGCCGCUUUUUAUUCAGCCCUGCCUCAAAUUCCUCAACCAGAUGCAACAACACUAGGUUGUCAUCAUUGUUGUCGAGGAUCAACUCUUCUAUGUCUGAAUCGUUAGACGAAGACAACGAGAUGAACUCCAAUCCAUCUACAAAAUGCACACAUGCUAGCAUGAGUUUCACCCGAACCUACUUCAGGCCAAAAUCGAGAACGAACUGCAUGAGUUUCACCCGAACAUACCAUGCCCGAAGCAAAGCCGCGUCGCGCCGCCCUUUAUUCUCCCCGCCGACCGACGAGAUGUCGCGCCGCCCCUUUCUUCCUUCGCCCUUGAAGCGCGCCAUCCCUUUCAUUUCCCCGCCGGCCGAAGCAGCACCGUGCCGCCCUCUUCCCCUGACGAGCGUCGCUCAUAGUCGCCGAAACCAACCAGAUCUGCAAGGAAUGAGCCUGCGCGCUGAGCUCCCAGGCGAUCCAUGGCGCCGGCGCUGAACGCAAUCCGCCGACCCAAAUGGUAACCCCCGCAGCCAAAAGUUGGUGGAGUGGAUGCGGCACGGGGUGGGAGAGCUUUCAGGCGGUGCGGGGCAGCUGGAAGCAGUACCAAGGGGCAUGGAUGUGCGGCGGUGGCGGCAGGGAGUGCAAGCGGGAAACAGAAGCCGGCGAAAGUGGUUCGCGCCAACGGAAAGUGGAUCCUCCAAAAUCGGAUGGAUUCCCGCACAUAUGAAGGAAUUGAGCUCGUGGAUGCGGAAUCCCACAAAAAAAUUAGGACGGCCCGGUUUGCCGGAUGUGCUAGAGAUGAUCUUACCUGGCUACCCCCUAAGAGCAUCUCUAGUUGUGCCCCAAACACAUCCUCCCCAGGCGAUUUUUUCACGCCGGCACAAAAAAAUCGGCCCAACCGCGCCCCAAGAAGCCGAAUUUUCGCCGGCUCGGGCCGAAUUUGGCGCCGGCGCACCCAAGCCGAACCAGGCACGCUGGGGGCGCCGGGCGAAACAGUUUUGGCACGAAAGAGCCGCAGGCCCGUCGAGUCAGUGACACUCGCCUUAGCGUCCUCAAAACGCCUCAGUUUCCUGCGGGGAAUCAAUGCCAAGGCUGCUGCUGGUCAGCCUUCCAUUGAUUCCUCACCAUGGGGCGGCUCUUCAUGGGCGGUGCGGCGACGGCUCAUUCCCCGCGACAACGUACACAUGUCUCUCCGGCGGCUAUCAAAAGCGUCCCCCCCCCGCCGCUAUCCACAGAUGUCGUGCUCUCUGCCUCUCUCUCUCCGCCGCCGACGAACCUCUCCUCUAUCCUCAGCCCAGCCACGACGAUGUGCGAGCAGUUCCCCAGUGACGGAGCGGCGACCAACGGCUUCGGCCGCCGCUCGCUGCACGCGGGGGAGGCGCACCUGCUUUUCGAGGCCAACAUCCUGGCGCCUCCAGACAUGUGCACUGGGCCGACAGGAUGGAGGCUUAGCGCUGGAGGCGUCCCCGUUUCCCCACUGCCGGACAUCGACGCGUGCCCCGACUACUUCGCCGGCAAGGUCGACCAUGUUUGGUCGUUGCUGACUGAGGAGCGGUGCGCCUCCCCGCAGCACGCCGUCGACAACCACGAGGCGUGGGCGGUGUACUUCCAGCGCCGUCAGGAGCAGCGCCUCGCCUCCACCAAUGGGGCACCGAUGGUGGGGGGCCGGGGGAACAGCGAGGGGCAACGCCUGUGGUGGGCCGCCCCCGGUCGGACGCUCCACGAGGUUCUCGCGUACCUCGAGAGCGGCAACAACCCGCCGCUCACAUACCCGGCCGCCGCGCCGGUCCCCCGCCGCGCCACCGGGCAAUGGAUGCCCAUGAGAUUUGUCUCCGGCUCGCCGUCCUCGUCCGCUCCUCUUCCCACUCCUCCAGCUCUCCGGCGGUGUUCAGCGUCAAGGCCGAGCCGCAGCGGAGACCCCGCUCGGCGGGCGCACCCUCUCGGCCAGCAUCGUCAUCAACGAAGGCAGCGGGCACGCCUCCUCCUCGGCUCCUCCCCGCUUCUUCAAGACGAAGACGGAGCCCGGGAUCGCUGGCGGCGAGAAGGAGGCGCUCGACGACGCGGCGGUGUUGAAGUGGGCGCGUGACGACUGGGCGCGGAUGGAGAUGGAGCGCUAGUGCCGUGCCUAUGAAGAGCUCACCGCACGGCAUCGGCGAGGCUGCGACGAGGAAGGCGUUAUCGUCCUCGACAACGACAGCGAUGAUGGCGCACCACCGGCGCUGGUCCACCAGGGCGACGCCGGCCAGGGGUCCAACAGGGGCGGCGUCCGCGUCAAGGAGGAAAGGCCGACUAAGGUGGAAUUGAAGAACCAACAGUACAUCAUUGAUAGCCAGAAUCAUCGAUAGCCAAAACUUUAUAGCAAAAUCCCGUCAUGCUUCCAGGAACAAAAAAUAAGAAAAAUUCAGGGAAGCAAGCAAGAACAUCGAGUAAAAAAAUGCAUCUGCUAACAAUAGAUCUCACCUUCUACUUGCACAAAGCUUUCGUUAAGUAAAAGAUCCCACUACCACAAUAGAUCUCAUCUACUACUGAAAAGUUCUUCUGCAAUACCCACACAAAAAAUUAUGGUCUAGAUUGUAACCUAUAGUCUACUAAUAGAUCGCUCAUGAUGCCACUAAACAAACAAAAGAAAUCCGCCCUUGAAGACAAGAACCAGGAUCACUAUAAAGAUGCAUACAAGAUUAGAUCCGGUCGUUACCAACUUCGAUAUGCAGUACAAGAAGAGCUGGUGUAGAUCGUUCUUCAAGUCCCUCAAAUGGUCCGUCAAACGAAGAUCGAAAGAACAAUCUCUCCAUGGAUUGCACGCGCAUGAGAUCGACGAUCCGACAGCUCUUUCACCGUUCAGAGUUAGGCGUUGCCGAAGAUCUAGAGGAAGGAGGAGCAGCCUUACGGUGUCUCACAAAUUUCUGGAGAAUUAGAGGGAAAGAGGGGGCGCACAAGACUGCAUGAGAACUUUUGUCACUAGGUGGAGAUGCCGUCUUGGAGGGUCCUCCCUCCCUUGUGACGGUGCACCAAGGGGUGGGCCCCACCCCUCAACCCUACCCAGACAAAGCUAGGACUUGCUGGCCAAGGCUAGUGGCGCCACCCUAUUGUUCCUUGGAUCAUCUCUAACAGAUCUCGCAACUGCGCGCCCCGCAAAACAUAUAUAAGGGCUCCCAUAAAAAAAUUGCGGUUCGGUGAGCGCUCUGGCAGAACAGAUACCGCAAUUUUUUUGCCGGAUGCGUUUCCAGGAUAUGUUCCGCCGGAGUGCUCCCCACACCCCAAAUUUUGUAUAACAUCAAACAAAUUACACAUUCUGUAAUGUCUACCGAAUGGAAUCUUGAUAUAAAUUCAACAUACGAAUAUAUAAAUGCUUAAGCAACUCAUAAUACAACAAUAGUCAUCAUUACAACAAAUGUCUGAAUUCAAAUAUUUAUUACAACACCAAAUUGUUUAAAUCUCACAUGAAUAGAAAUGCAUACAAAUGGCGAUCUACCUCCCCCCAUAGAGCUGCCACAGAUGCUCAAUAAGAACAUGCUGGAGUUGGUUGUGCAAAAUCAUGGUUCUCGAUAUUCUGCUAUGUCUCAAGAAAUGCAUUGGUCUCAUCUGCGUCCCUGGCAGGCUUCACACGGCUACCAACAUUGUCAUAGUUGUACUCCAAGUCCAAAUCCCUCUCAUCUUCGACGAUCAUGUUGUGUAAAAUUACACAAGCAGUCAUCAUGUUUCACAGGCGUUUUUUACCCCAGAAGCAAGCAGGACCUCAUACAAGGGCAAACCGAGCUUGCAACACACCAAAUGCCCACUCAAUAUCCUUUCGGCCAGCUUCUUGUGCUUCUGCAAAAAAAAUUGUGCUUCUUGAUUUUGGGGUCACUAAUGAUCUUCACAAAUGUUGACAAUGAAGGAUAGACACCGUAGGCAAUAUGGUACCCCAUGGUAUAGUCAUGGUCGGUAUAGUUGCAAGCCAGAGAUUUUCCACUAGCUAGCUGGGCAAAUAAAUGAGAUCGAUGCAAAACGUUAAGAUCAUUGAGAGACCCCAGCAAACCAAAGAAUCAAUGACAAUCCAUAGAUCAUAUGAACCAUGGCUUCAAUAACGAUGGCGGGCUUACGUUUGUCGCCGAUGUAUUGCCUUGCCCAAGCCACCGGGCAAUUCUUUCACCUCCAAUGCAUGCAAGCAAUACUACCUAGCAUGCCCGGCCAUCCUCUUGCCUUGUUCAUUGCCAUGAGCUUGUUUAUGUCGUCUUCGUUUGGAGCUCGAAGAUACUCUGGGACAAAAACCCGGAUUAUUGUAUUUGCACAGACACAGACACUUUUGAUGGUGGUAUAUUGCCAAUGCGAAGAUAUUUAUCCACGUGGUCGUCCAGAACACCAUAUGCAAUCACUCAUCGCCGCCAAAAUUUUCUCAUAUGCACUGAAACCAAUCAAACUGGCGGCAUUUCUACGUCGGGUGAAGAAAUGGCAAUUUUGCUCGCAAUCCCCAUCGAUGCGGAUGAAAAGUGACCUACGUGUUCGAUAUCGCCUACGAAAGAGGUGAGCAGGACAUGUCGGUACCUCGACGAAGUAGUCCUUAAUGAACAUUUUGUCACCGAGAGCUCGGUUGCGGAGAAUUCAUAGCCGACCGACCGUUGAUCCACGCCACUUUUUCUUUAGCCCCGCCUCAAAUUCGUGGACUAGAUGCAACAACACUAGGUUGUCACCAUCGUUGUCGAGGAUCAACUCUUCUAUGUCUGAAUCGUCGGACGAAGACAACUAGAAGAACUCCAAUCAAUCUAUAAAAUACACACAUGCUAGCAUGAGUUUCAACCGAACCUACUCCUGGCCAAAAUCGAGAAUGAACCGGCAGGAGUUUCACCCGAACAUACCUCGCCUGAAGCAAAGCCGCGUCGCUCCACCCUUUCUUCUCCCCGCUGGAUGACGCGAUCCCGUGCCGCCGCUUUCUUCCUCCCGACCCCCGAAGCCACGCCGACCCUUUCAAUUCUCCGCCGCCUGAAGCAGCACCGCGCUGCCCUCAUCCCUCGACAAGCACCGCUCACAGUAACCGAAACCAACCGGAUCCACAAGGAAUGAGCCCGCGCACGAGCUCCCACGCGGAUCCCUGGUGCUGGCGGUGGACACGAGCCGCGGACGCAAAUGGUCACCCCAUAUGGCCCAAAGUUGGUGGACUGGAUGCGGCGCGGAGUGGCAGAGCUUUCGGCAGGCACGAGGCAGCUGGAAGUAGUACCAAGGGGCGGGGAUGUGCGGGGGUGGCUGCGGGGAGUGGAAGCGGAAACGGAAGUCGUCGGAACUGGUUCGCGCAACGGAAAGGGGAGACUCCAAAAUCGGAUGGAUUCCCGCACAUAUGAAGGAAUUGGGCUCGCGGAUGCGGAAUCCCGCAAAAAGAAUUCUAGGGCGGCCCGGCCGGUUUGCGGGAUGUGCUAGAGAUGCUCUUACCUGGCUGCCCCCUAAUAACCACUUCACAUCAGAUGUUGCCUGAUCCGGUGGACGCCAAGACUGCCCUGUACUUUGCAAAGAACUGAAGGACUCCUCUACAAUAAUUUGUUCAAAGCGACAAAUAAAUUGACUUUGUAAACAUGCCAGAACCCAGCGCUCAUCCUUUAGCAAAAUGACCACUCCCUUAAACUUAAAUUCCCGUUAACUAAAAAUUGCCACUACACUAAUAUGUUCAUGAUCAACACUAUGUACCGCAAUUUGGCAUGCCUAGAUUACUACAUACAAUAUCAUGCUCUAGCACAUGAUGCUCAUACAAAGUUCCACUGCUCCUGGCUUUUGUACACAUGAUCUCUCUAGCGCCCAGUAAUUUGUCAGGGCAAAAAAAAAACCCAGCCAACUCCCUGACUUGCUGAUGAGCUAGAAACUGAGUCUCAAUUAAUUCCAAUGAAUCAAGGUUGUCAGCAGAGAUAGUCAUAGGCGAACGAGAAUUUGUAACACAUGAAUAGUAGUCAUCAGUGAGCUCACCAUUAAGUAGUUCUGACCACACAUGUAGUGCUUGGCAUUUGCAUCAAACUGAUAGCCAUGGAAGCUUCAGCUAGACAUCCAUUAAUCACAAGGUCUGCUGACUCGGGACGGAAGUAGCUUUGGGCACCACAAGGAUCCAGCACAACCUUCUUUCUUAGAUGGGCAUGGUUUCAGUUGCACAGUUGGCAGCAGAUACCUCCAUGAAUCUCUUAGAGAAUUCAGAUAAUCAGGAAAAUGUGCCAUCACAUAAGCAAUUUGUCAUACUAGCCCCACGUGUUUCAGAUGCACACCACGAUAAGAGCAAUCAAAUGAUGGCCAUGUCAGUGGUCGUAGAUCUUGUCCAAGCAUGGAGAGUAGUAAGAGCUACUCUUCGGACAACCUCUUGUGAUGCAACCAUGUAGAGCGUGCUUGCAGCAGCGCUCCUAGCCGCAGCACUCAUGGAGGGAAGCACCACUGAGUUGGCACAUGGCACAGACUUCUGAGCCUUCCAUUGAAUAAUUGGUGUGUGCUAGCACACUGAGUGUGAGGCCGAUAGCUGGCUCACGCAACGGGAUUAGCGAGUCCUAUAGAGGCACAGUGAAGGAUGGAGGCAUACUCCAAAAGCCUAACACACCGCCAUGGGAUCGCCUCCGUCAGCGUUGUGAUUGAGGCUAUCCGUCGAACAACUUGUGGGUGGCGGUGCAGCGACACUCGUGGCAUCAAUGUCGAAUGUUUUGGCACUAGCAGUCGAGGCAGUGAGCUCCGGGACGAUGUCUGCAGUUCCCUUCGCUGGUGUGAGGUCAUCGGUGAUGUUGUCAUGGCGUGGGUGGCCUCUAGAUCCUUCAUGCCGGAGCUGGGGUCGGAGGGCUCGCCGAGUUCAUUGUUUGGCCUUGGAUUAGUAUCUCAAUUGCCUUGAGGUCACAGUGCAUCUCUUCGUGUGACUUGGCAAGGCUCUCACUCGGUGGCGGGGCUACAAAAAAGUUGUUGGGAAGGCCGAGCUAAAGAAAGACACAAAAAAGAAUCAUCGGCAUUAAUCAGUACCUUGUGUUCCAUUUUUUGCAAGAUUAAAUGAUCAGAUAUAUGUACAAAAAGGCUAUACCAAAAUACAGUUUCAUUACUAUUUUUGCUGGCCAUUAUAGGAGCUUGGAGACAUCAGAUAUUGAAUGACAGACUUUUUACUGCGUGCAACGAAAUACAAUAUUAACUUGUAACAAUAAAUUACUAUCGCUCCCUCGUUUGCGGUGGGCUAGUAUAAUGUUUCUUUUUUUGCACCAGAGCUGGGCGGGCCACGGCCAUUUUGGCCUUGCCGUGGCUCCGCCAGUGUGUCUCACUUAUCUUGUCGAGGUAGUCAUUGAGCACCGGAUCUAUGGUGACCAACAACAGCCCACAGCCUGUGUCCAGCCACUCAAUGCAGCUCCGGUCCUGCUCGAGCAGGUUGCUGCUCGUGCCGCCGAUGGUAGAGAGGUUGUGCAGCAGUCAGCUGGCAAAGACCCCGUCCCGGAUCGCCUCCAGGGUGUCAAACGUUUCGAACGCACUGAUUACAAUUCCUAGGAGUUGUUUGUAGUUGUGGUGGCCAUGUCCAGGAUCUUGUUCACCAUUUCUUGGUUGGGCGAUUUGCUUGGGUUGAACAACUCCGACACUCAUAUUGACGCCAGCUCUUCCAUUGGCUUUUCCAGUUGAUGCAUGCUCUGAAUAUGUAUGGAAGAGUAGUCCAUUGAGAGAUCUCAUCAAUUAAUUUUGAUUAUGGUCAGAAACACACAUGCAAAAAUUGUACUACUGAGUACUGGCAUAACUAACCUUGAGCUGGCAAGUAUCCUUUGUGGUGCAGCAUGGCGUAGGGCCUGAAGUAGUGGAUGGCCAGUUGGCCACCACGCUGCCCAUGUGCAGCACGAUGGCCGGUAAGCCUAGCUCCCUUGGGUCAUCAGUCCAGACGUCACUACGGAGCAGCUGAGUGUUUCAGCUUUAGAGUAGAACUAUUUACUCCGCAAAAAAAAAUUAGAGUAGAACUAUUUAUCCCAAGGUGAGUGUACUUACUAGAAAAAUAGUGUAUGGUAUGUUGCUCACCAUAUAGAAUCUGUGGUGGAAACUGCUAACCUUGAUCAUUAACCAGUUGACUAUAUCUUCAGUUUAUGAAGCUUGGAGGGUAAUUUUGUUUAGGAAUGACGAAAAUUUUGUGGGUGUGAGUUGAAAAUAUUUUGCAUGUGUUAGUUCAAAAUAUUUUGUCGGUGUUAGGACAAUAUUUGUUCAGAGUAACCAUAUUCCAUUUUACGGACUUUAUGGAUGACUACACAGCUACAUGAAUUCAUUUUCUCAAAUUUCAGGGUUCUGUGCAUGCACAUUGACAGUUUGGUAGACCGUAAAAAAACUUUGCCUUCAUUGAUAUGUUAUUAUUAAUCCAUUAAAGUAGCACACAUCUUAGUUAGCAUUAGCGCUUACGUACAUGCAUAGUGCCACCUUCGAACUGAUUCCAAAAGAAGCACCAGCAUCAUUCCCAAUUCCCAUGAGUUGUAAACUGCAGAUGCAAUCACAUGAUUCAGUAACCACAUUUGGUCGUCUCCACUACACAGUGAUAGUGACAAGUAAAUAUUCCAAGUAGCAGAUAAAUUGAUUGUCAUGUAUAUCAAAUUGAAAAAAAAAUAGUUAUAGAAUUAGGUGUACUAUACAUAUAGCAAAAGUAUAAUAUGCAACUUUCCAUAAUAGCUCCAAUGCUUACAUUAUGCAAUAGAAACCAAGUGUUCAGAAGCAACCCCUAUGAAACAUUGGAGGCUUACUGCCACCAGAUAACAAAACUGGAAGUAGAAGAAUAAAACAUUGGAGGCUUACUGCCACCAAGUUUUGACAUUGAAGUUUUAGCAGACUAUUGGUUGUAUACAGAAUGGCCGCAGCAUUGUUUCCACUAACCACAAGCAUAAUACUAGAAGCAUCUUGUUCCCUUAUUAAUAUUCUACCAAAAAUAACUGGCAGAAAAAGAUUAUUUUUCCCCAAAUGUAAAAAAGAAAGACUUGAAUAAUACCUGAGAAAAAAAGAGAGCAACAGUCAGUAUAUUUAUGUGUCAAACUAUACAAAUUAAUCCAGACUUUGACCAUGUGGCGAUCCAGAUAAUUUUCCAAACCCUGAACAAACAGCAAAGCAGCUCAGCUUAAUGACUCAAACAUUCGACUAAUGGAAAUAUUAUAAUUUAGAGAUUACCGACAGUAGGAAUAAAUACUAAAUAGUCUAAAUAAUAGCAAUACAAUCAUAGCUGACCAACUUUAAAUAAUUAUGGCUGGGAAAUGUUCAUCUGAAUUCUAAAUGUCUGGUGCUCUGAAAACAGUACAGACCUUUAGAGACCCCAUAAUUACUUCCCGUUCCUAAACCAUCUUUUUUCUAAAUCAAAAAACGUUGUGUAAAAGAGCCAAAAGCCGCUGAGAUGACACUAAGAUUAACAUAUGAGUUUUGCUUCGGUACACCCCUCUAGAAAAGUUUGCACGAAUCUUAAAAUUACAUUAAAUGAGUAUUCUCGUACAUGCACAAUCAACUAAUAAGUAGAUCACCAGUAAUAAGUAGCAAGACACCUAGAGGCCCAAGAUGCCCAAAGUAGCCACACGGCAAAGAACAGAAAUCCCGUUGCCUGAAAAGGCAGACAGCGCGAUGGCUGAUGGUGACGUGCUCAUGGGUGUAGUUGAAUUGGUUAAACGGGUGGAACUUCUCCUUUACUUUGUGGGUGUUAGGACAAAAUAAAUUGUGGGUGUUAAGGACAAUAUUUGUUCAGAGUGUCCAUAUUUCAUUUUACAGGUUUUAUGAAUGACCACACAGCUACGUGAAUUCAUUUUCUCAGUUUUCAAAGGUUCCGUGCGUGCAUAGUGACAGUUUUGUAGACUCCAUUAAAGCAGCACACACCUAAUUCUGUACUACACAUAUAGCAAAGAUAUCAUCUGUAAAUUUCCAUAAUAGCUUCAAUGCUUGCAUUAUGCAAUAGAAACCAAGUGUUCAAAAUCAAUCCUUAUGAAACAUUGGUCCAGGAGACCACAUCAUUGUCCAGGAGAUACAUACACCAAACCGGAAGUAAAAGAAUAAGCAUAAUAUUUUGACAUUAAUGUUGUAGCAGACUAUUGGUUGUAAACUGAAUGGUCACAACAUUCUUUGCACUAACCAUAAGGAUAAUACUAGAAGCAUCUUGUUUAGUUAAAAUAUUUUACCAAAAGUAAAUGGCAGAAAAAAAAUAUUUCCCCAAAUGUAGAAGGGAAGACUAAUGUGAAUCGUGAUACCUGAUAAAAAAAGGAAAGCCAACCGCCAGUGUAUUUACCUAUCAAACUAUACAAGUCAAUCCAGACUUUGACCAGGUGGUGAUCCAGAAAAUUUUCCAAACCCUGAUAAAACAGCAAAGCGGCUCAGCUUAAUGACCCAAACAUAGGACUAAUAGAAAUACUAUAAUGUAGAGAUUACAGACGAUUGGAAUAAAUAGUCUAAAUGAUAGCUGACCAACUCUAAAAAUCUACGGCUGCGAGAUGUUCAUCUGAAUUCUGAAUGUCUGGUGCUCUGAAAACAGUACAGAGCUUUAGAGACCCCAUUAUUACUUGCCGUUUCUAAACCAAUUUUUUCCACAAACAAUUGUAUACAAGUGACCUUGUAAAAGUGCAAAGCCACCGACAUGACACUAAGGAGGUGUUUGGUUUCAGAAUUGUUAGGUAAAUGUAUACACGAUCGGUUUACACCGUUAAUGUAAACGGUAUGGGAAAAAAUCAAUUCUUGUUUGGCUCACUGUUGUAAUGCUAAUGAAUACCGGCGAGAAAACAGGAACCCCACGUCCAGGCAACUAGCUAACUCCAUGCCCUGCUUUGUUUAAGCUGGGGAGUGGGCGGGGUUUGGGGAUCGGGGCUGGAAGCCUGAAAGAGUUCGUUCGAGUCGGCUUCGCUGUAACGUAACCUGUUUACAGAUGGGGGUGGGCGGAAUCAGGUUAAAACUGCACUUGGAUUUGUUUACAUGCAAAGCGAAGCAAACAAGAUUAACAGUAUGGGGUUGCGACAUAAUCGGAUACCGGGUGGAAAACUGUGAACCAAACACCUCCUAAGGUUAACAUAUUGCUAUCACCUUUCCUAAAUUUAAGCUUUUACUCAAACAGAAUUGCAUACUCAUGUAGAAUAUGAGCUGGUGCUACUUACGAAAACUGUUCAUUAGCUCCUCUACUUUUUGAGGACAUACAUUCAGGUCAGUGGACUAAAGCACGUCAUGGUAGUAGAGUGGAAACUGAAGUUCUAGCUCCAAACACGGAAGAUAACAAUUACUCCCUCUCUCUCAGUUUACAGGGCGUGUGCGUGCCCCUAGGUCGUUAAUUUGACCAACCUAAUACAAGUCAUAUAUUACGAAAAAAAUAUACCAAUAUAAACUUGAGAUGUUCUAUUUUCAAACGGUAUAAUUUUUGUGUUCUAUAGUUUAUGUUAGGGUGAUAAAAUUGACAACCUAGGUAUACGUGCAGGACUUGUAAACUCAAACGGAGGGAGUAGGAAAUUUCAACUAGGAGAAUAAAAAUAAAUGCUUGCAAUUACAUGAUUACAACAUUUUGUUUAAGUGCCAAGGUGCUUGACACUAACAAACUAGUAACAUUCAGAGAAGUGACAACAUACAGGAAGGUGGUGGCUGCGUCGCCGAUACACUACUAGAGAAAACCCUAGUAGUAGCGUGGGUUUUGAGGCUAGCAGCAGCACGGGUGGCCGCGCUACUAAUAAGCCGCUGCAGCUAACUUAUAGUAGUAGCGCGGUCCUUACCUGCGCUACUACUGUUGACGAUAUCAGUAGCGCUUUUUAUGAUCGCGCUACUAUUACUUAGCUGUAGCGAUUUCGUAGUCCCUCACUACUGCUAUAUCUUUCAUCAUUUUUCCCGUACCCCUUUUCCUUUCAGUUUCCCUUUCAGAUACUAGAUAGUAGGUACUGCUAGUAGAUAUCAAAUUCAUAAACCAUUACUGGGUAGUACUCCCUUCGUUCCAAAUUACUGGUCGUGGUUUUAGUUCAAACCACGACAAGUAAUUUGGAACGAAGGGAGUACUGGAUAACAAUUUAAUGCAUAAUCAACAUGCAUCCUCAAGCAGUACAAGGUCGUAUCAACGGUGAUCAUCAUAUGUAGUUCUAGAUGAUAUCGACAACGAUCAUCAUAUGUAGUUCUAGAUGAUAUAGCCACACACACAUAUGUAGUUCUAGAUGAUAUCAAAGACAAUCAUCAUCCUCAAGCCUGGGCGGUUGGUGUUCCUGAUAGUAAUUAGGAUGGCCUGUCCAACACGAAGAUUCUUGCCAUCGAGGAAUUUCUUCCACCCAACCGAGUUUAAGUGUGUGCGAGCGUCCAUGUCCAUGCGGUAAGUACAAGUUGUGACGGAGCCCCUUGCAGUAAGGCGUAGUCCAGCUGAGCCUUCUUCAUCAGGCUCGAUACCAUAACUCGCAGAUAUGCUCUUUGCCAAUUUCUGAAUAAGAAAAACAUUUCAAUUAAUAAAUAGCCUCGCAAAUAAGUACAUAUGGAUUAUCUACACUAUUAAUAGUUUCCUUAGAUUCUACACUAAUAAGCAUGUGAUCGAACUCUACACUAAAACAUAUCAUCGACUAGAUUCCACACAACAUACCAUAUCAUUGGACUGUACACUAAGUAUUUCAUCGGAUAAUUUGCAUUUGUAAGUAUAACAUACCAUAUCAUGUCGAUCAAUCAUGGUAUUUGUCAGGCGGGUCACGAAUGGCACCCCAACAAAGUCAGCACGUGGCGGAAUUAUGUCCCACAGGUUGGACACCUCCUCCUCACUCAGCCUUGUUCUUUGGGCUACGAUGGCUUCAUGAAGUGGGUCAUCAUCAUCUUCAUCGACUGGGUCCUCAUUAUCUUCCUCAUCUUCAUCAUCUUCGUCAUCUUCAUCAUCUUCCACCAGGUUGAGAUAAAUGACAGCCAGCUUGGGUCUUUCUGCUCUGAAGGAGAAGCUGAUCAACUCACCACCAGUAAGACGCAUGCGAGCGAUGAAACGGGCCCAUCCAUCUCCUCCAAUCUGCGACAUAUUGCAUCCUUUCUCGACCUCCAUAGUGUACGCCCCCCAGGAGCCUCAAAUGUCACAGUGUCUCCUGUCAGCUUGUUGAAUUUCAACCUCACAUUGCAUGGGACGAUCUGUGUAAAAUAAGCAAAAUGACACAAUGCAGUAAUGCCAACACUAAAAAUAAAAUAGUUAUUACAUUUCAUCUAAUUUCUUACCGCUGCAUGACGAAAACCCGGCUGGAAGUAGAUGCCGAACAGCUUGCCAGUUGCAAGGCUGCUGGCGCACCUUGACUUGCACAGUCGACAUAGUGGUGGUGGUGGUGGCGCCAUUUUUCCUAAAGCAAUAUGAGCAACGGAUUAACGAUCCACUUCACAGGAAAGAAAAAAAGUAGCAUGAGAUAUUUUUGGUUCUUCCGCGAGAAGCAAUUUGAUGGACAAUUAUAAUCCUAAGAUCUAGUAACAUAUUAGAUGACAAGGUACGACCUACAUUUUGCCAAAAAGUAAGUAAAUCAACUAAAUGAAAAUGUUCUAAAUCAACUAAAUGAAAAUGGUGCAUACUAAAUCAACUAAAUGAACUAGCCUACUAAAUCAACUAAAUUAAAAUGUUCUAAAUCAACUAAAUGAACUAGCCUAUUAAAUCAACUAAAUCAAAAUGUUCUAAAUCAACUAAAUCAACUAGCCUACUAAAUCAACUAAAUCAAAAUGUUCAAAAUCAACUAGCCUACUAAAUCAACUAAAUCAAAAUGUAGGGAGGACGGAGGAGGAGGCCGGUGCCGAGUCCAGCAAGGAGGAGGAGGGGCCGGCCGGCGGCCAGUGGAGGGAGGACGGAGGAGGAAGGUGGAGCGAGGAGGGGCCGGCCAGCGGCGAGUGGAGAGGGAGAACGGAGGAGGAGGCCGGUACCGAGUCCAGCAAGGAGGAGGAGGAGGUGACGGCGGCGCACAGGAAGGAGGGGGACGGGGGAGGACCGGCGCGGGGGAUAGAGAGGGAUCCAGUGAGUGUGUGACUGUGAGUGGAUCGGAUAGAGGAGAUGGGGUGGGAAAUGAGAUGGCUUAGCAGUAGCGCGCUAUAGAGAAAGACGCUACUGCUAAACUACCUAGCAGCAACGCCUUUCACAAAGAAGCGCUACUGCUAUGUGUCAGCAUGUAAAAAUAGACUUAUAGUUCAUUGUAUCAAAAAUACAUUGAUCAUCAACGAUCUUUUUGUGUACAAUCUGAUUUGUCAAUAUGAAUCCUCACUGGUAUAGGAACAAGUGAAGACUCAUAUUGCAGCCACAAAUUCUACACAUAGAGUUCAAUGAAGACCAAGUGCUUGUCAAAGUUUGAGAAGUAACAUAUUUAUGGUGGUAGAAACUCUUUUCACGGAGCGAGGUGGGACUAAAUUUUUAUAGUAAACUUAGCAGUAGCACUUAUUGGCGAAAUGCGCUUCUACUAUGCUACGUAGUAGUAGCACCCUUCGAUAUAACGCAUUGCUGCUAUAGCUAGCCUCGCGGCGGCCUCGUGGGAAUUAUAGCAGUAGCGCGUCUUUCAGCUGGCGCGCUACUGCUAUAUUUAUUUCAGCAGCGAGUUAUUCUUGAGCUCGCUACAGCUAAUUAGCAGCAAUGCCUUAUUUUAAAGCGCGCUGCUGAUAAGAUUCUGUGUAUAGGCUUUUCCCUAGUUGUGAUACUUUAUUGCAGAGAGGAUCUCAACAUCGAGCCCGAGCCACACCCAGCCAUCUCCAUCACAUUUUCCCUCCUUUGCUCUCCACACAAUGCAUGCCAGCAGCACACAACAUUUCCCACGAGGGCCUGGAGAGGAUCGGAAUGUUGAAGUUGUAUGCUGCAUUCCAUGGUUUAAAAAGUAACCGGGCACUCCAAAAGGGUUAUGCAGUAGAUUAUCCACAUACUAAAUUUUGAUUAGCUGAGCAAUUCUAUGCAAUGGUACAUAAUACAUCUGCGGUAAGGAAUGAUCAGUAGUCCUGCGAUGGCACAUAAUACAUGCAGUAACAAGUGACAAGAGUGAGCUUUCAACUUGCUUCUAGAACAGCAUUGCCCACAUAAUUCCUGGUGCUGUUCUUUCAAUAUGGAUUAAUGAAGACAAAUUACCGAUGGCUGAAUCAUUUAAUUAAACAGUAUGGAUCCAAGCUCUUCUAAAAAUUAGGUGCAACUUGCAAGCCAACAGAGAGGACAAUUUGCUACAUCAUUGCUAGGCAGAACAAAAAAGAAACAGGAAACAUAUGUAGAUUGUCAAAUAUUUAUUAUUAAUAAGGCCACCAUAUAAUCUCUCAGACUAAAAGAAGAUCUAGAUAAAAAGAGGGAAAGCCAAUUCUUGAGUUCAUGAAAUAGAAAAACCAGGAAGGUACAUUACCACUAAUAAGUAACAAGAAGACACCUAGAGGCCCAGGAUAAAAUAGCAAGGUCAAUUCUCCAGUUCAAGAAAAUAGAUACAUGGGGCAGGUUAGCUAGCACAUAUUACAAACACAUACGAGAACUAGGGAAUGUCAAUUAUUGAUUUCAAGAACUAGAGACACCAGGAAGGUAGAUUACCAAUAAUAAGUAGCAAGACGAUACCUAGAGGCCCAGGAUUAAAAACCGAAGUCAAUUCUCUGUUUCGAGAAAAUAGAUAAAUGGGGCAGAUUAGUUAGCACAUAGUACAAAGUACAAACACACACCAAAAUGACUUGGUAAUUUUGGCAUUGACGCAUACAAUAAUCCCUUCUUUCCAAAAUGGUAUCGGCACAAACAUAGAUUUCAUGUAACUAUGUAACAACCAAAGAUUCUCGAUUUGAAUUUUACAUGCAUCAACAAAGAAGCUUACCGAAAAAGACAUCUUGCCCUGUUUUACAAAUGAAGCCACAACCACGAUACAACCACACCGCAAACGGAGGUCCACAAGUAACAUAAAGGUUCGAAAGUACAACGAAAUAAGUACUUGCUAGGGGCAACAGCAAAACAAGCCAACAAAACCCUUCAAUUCAUACAUACUGCAGCUAAUAGUGGAUCCAAUUCAUACAUACUGCAGCUCAUGAGGAUACAAACAUCCAGGACAUUAAAAUGCAGCAGCGGACUCAUCAAACUUCAGGUGAAAGGCCAACCGUUCACAACAUAACCAUGUUGCGAUGGAAAGAAGUCAUGCGGAACAAGACUUUGCUUGAGCUGCAGUUGAGUAGGUUGGACACCUGUGUGAUUGAAAGUGGCGACCAACUUGCCAUCCAUGUCAACCUGAACUAGCCAGUCGGGAAAUUUGACCAGGACAAGCAACUCACCAUCCCCAGGCACGACCACCGUUUCCCAAGAGUCAUCGUCGUCGCGUUUUCCACAUGACGCCCUAAUCUCUGCAAGCGGCAAUUCAAUGUGGCACUUGAAGGUCCAAACCUCGCUUGCAUAGUCCUACAACACCCAAAUAUCAAUGCUUGUCGCUUUGUCGUUAAAGCUAGACAUGCCGAGCAUGCUAUCCAUCUCAAACAGCCCAUCACAGGUGGUACCACGAACAACGGGGACGCGCAUCUGUCGGAACGUCUUGGCUGUGGUGUCAAACACAAUUAUCAUGUUGCUUUCGCC
Molecule: long non-coding RNA, 39957 nt
Filed under: Triticum aestivum (bread wheat)
Lineage: Eukaryota; Viridiplantae; Streptophyta; Magnoliopsida; Poales; Poaceae
Description: long non-coding RNA (TAES_LNC002098)
Source: RNAcentral